GUUCCUGUAGCACAAUGGAUAGUGCGUUGGACUUCUAAUUCAAAAGUCGUGGGUUCAAAUCUCACUUGGGAUG
Trichonephila clavipes is the source of this 73-nucleotide non-coding RNA. The record is from the annotation of a GenBank genome assembly. NCBI's taxonomy places the organism in Eukaryota, Metazoa, Arthropoda, Arachnida, Araneae, Nephilidae.